UGUCCUUCUCAAGUCGAUCGCCCCUGUGACGUCAGCGGCCGCUCGGUCUUUCCAAGGAGAAGCGGAGGGAAAAGAAACCGGAGAGACCGAGACCCUCGAACCCGUCUAUCCAUGUGUCGUUACGUCGCUCCGUGAGCUGUGUGUGUGUGUGUGUGUGUGUGUGUGUGUGUGUGUCGGAGCCACAGACAGGAAACCGCAGAAGAGAAGGAGGGGAGAACAAGAAGCGUGAGAGGAGUUGUCGGUAGUUUUCCCCCGCUCCGAACAUGGAGCGGACUGGAACUUUCCUGCUCUCCGCGGCUCUCCUGCUGGUUUCACUGGGACACACUGGGGCACGGGCGGACUCGUUUAAAGCCUGUCUAUCUGGGCAGUCUCCAGAAUGUGCUCUGGUCCAGUCCAAAGAGGACGACUUUGACUGGGAGCAGGGGGACACCCGAGACCACCUGACAAGCCUCCCUUGGAUCCCUGCAGCAGUGUGAAAUACAACUCCUUAAACAGGAGAGGAGGAAACGAGAGAGGAGAGGAGGAACCUUGAGAGAAGGAAAGGAGAGAGGAAAGGAGGAAACAAGAGUGGAGUGGAGGAUCCUUGCUGAUUUUCAUCCCAGUUUUCUACAUUUAAUUUAUAUAGUCUGAGUUGGUAGUAGCUGAAUUAGCUUCAACGUGAGCCACUUUUUGCUUAUACUAAGUUUAUUACCAGCAGCAGAUUAAACAGUGAGCAGCUCCUAUCGCUGGAUCACUGAGAGACUGAAGGAAAGUUAGACAUGAGCAAGUUCUGCAGCGUCUUCUCUGGUUUCUAAGUGUAUUUAUGGAGGUUUAUUCUGGAUGGACAUCAGAGAUAAUGGCAAGUUAUGAAGUGUAUUACUACAAAUAUGUUUCAUGUCUCUGUUUUCACAUUUGAUUGAGUUAGGACUUUGAGAAGGAGAUGAAUUGUCCCUGGUGGAGUUUAAAAUGAGCUUUUGCUGGAGAACAAAAUGAAACACAUCCACUACAAUACACUUAAUCCUUUCUGACUGUCCUCAUUUCCUUUGUGUUGGUCCCUGGCAUCCACUUCAAACUGUCAGAUAAGAAUCAAUGUGACAAGUAACACCUUUAAAUAUUUUAUGUUUUUGACUUGUGAGCACAGCUUUGUAGAAAAGAAAUGGUACCUCUGACUGCUCAUAGAUGAAGCUUUAUAACACCGACACUUUAAAAUGGUAGUUCUGCAUGUGUUCUCACUUGGGGAAAGCAGCAGGUCUGGUUGCAGUUCUCUGUUUUAACUCAUCUGAUUUAAUAUUGCAGACACACACAGACACACAGAGUUGCAGCGAGGCAUCGAUUGACCAGUGAUUGCAAGCUCCAUUUAAUGUUCUUACAAAUGGUACAAGUUCAAUCUAAUCUGAGCCAUGUAGCACUGGCUCGCCCUCUCUCCUGUCAGUGUGAACAACAGUAAUCUUCUCUAAUACCCUUUACAGCCACACACACACUCGCUGUUCCAGGCUGGGAACAAUUUCCUCACUCGUUAGCAUUUGUUGCUGCAGUGACCCAAGUGAGUUUCACAGG
This is a long non-coding RNA of Monopterus albus (swamp eel), 1536 nucleotides long. RefSeq lists it as uncharacterized. The transcript is spliced from 3 exons. The record is from RefSeq and is a predicted model, not a curated record. NCBI's taxonomy places the organism in Eukaryota, Metazoa, Chordata, Actinopteri, Synbranchiformes, Synbranchidae.